UACGUAGGGGGCAAGCGUUAUCCGGAAUCAUUGGGCGUAAAGCGCGUGUAGGCGGUUCCGUAAGUCCGCUCUGAAAGCCCAGGGCUCAACCCUGGGAGGCGGGUGGAUACUACGGAACUGGAGUACGGAAGAGGAGAGUGGAAUUCCUGGUGUAGCGGUGAAAUGCGCAGAUAUCAGGAAGAACACCCGUGGCUAAGGCGGCUCUCUAGUACGGUACUGACGCUGAGACGCGAAAGCGUGGGGAGCGAACAGG
RNAcentral lists this ribosomal RNA (253 nucleotides) under uncultured bacterium. Its description in RNAcentral is "partial 16S ribosomal RNA". It matches the Rfam family "Bacterial small subunit ribosomal RNA", at positions 524 to 776 of the family's 1533-position model. The record is from RNAcentral.